GACCGAGGUCCCGAGCGUUAAGCGGAAUCACUGGGCUUAAAGCGUGUGUAGGCGGAUUGGUAAGUACCUUGUGAAAUCCCACGGCUUAACCGUGGAACUGCUUGGUAUACUGCUUAUCUUGGGCCACUUAGGGGUUACCGGAACAAACGGUGGAGCGGUGAAAUGCGUAGAUAUCAGGAGGAACACCCGUAGCGAAGGCGGCACACUGGGCCGAUACUGACGCUGAGGAGCGAAAGCGUGGGGAGCGAACAGG
RNAcentral lists this ribosomal RNA (253 nucleotides) under uncultured bacterium. Its description in RNAcentral is "partial 16S ribosomal RNA". It matches the Rfam family "Bacterial small subunit ribosomal RNA", at positions 524 to 776 of the family's 1533-position model. The record is from RNAcentral.